RNAcentral lists this ribosomal RNA (497 nucleotides) under uncultured bacterium. RNAcentral's name for it is "partial 16S ribosomal RNA". It matches the Rfam family "Bacterial small subunit ribosomal RNA", at positions 28 to 507 of the family's 1533-position model. The record is from RNAcentral.
GAUGAACGCUGGCGGCGUGCCUAAUACAUGCAAGUCGAGCGAACAGACGAGGAGCUUGCUCCUCUGACGUUAGCGGCGGACGGGUGAGUAACACGUGGAUAACCUACCUAUAAGACUGGGAUAACUUCGGGAAACCGGAGCUAAUACCGGAUAAUAUAUUGAACCGCAUGGUUCAAUAGUGAAAGACGGUUUUGCUGUCACUUAUAGAUGGAUCCGCGCCGCAUUAGCUAGUUGGUAAGGUAACGGCUUACCAAGGCGACGAUGCGUAGCCGACCUGAGAGGGUGAUCGGCCACACUGGAACUGAGACACGGUCCAGACUCCUACGGGAGGCAGCAGUAGGGAAUCUUCCGCAAUGGGCGAAAGCCUGACGGAGCAACGCCGCGUGAGUGAUGAAGGUCUUCGGAUCGUAAAACUCUUUUAUUAGGGAAGAACAAAUGUGUAAGUAACUAUGCACGUCUUGACGGUACCUAAUCAGAAAGCCACGGCUAACUACGUG